This 63-nucleotide transfer RNA is filed under the name Afissula kambaitana. RNAcentral describes it as "tRNA-His". Lineage: Eukaryota; Metazoa; Arthropoda; Insecta; Coleoptera; Coccinellidae. The record is from RNAcentral.
AUUUAAGUAGUUUAAUUUAAAAUAUUGAUUUGUGGAAUCGAAGAUGUUUAAAAACCUUAAAUU